UACGUAGGUGGCAAGCGUUGUCCGGAUUUACUGGGCGUAAAGGGCGUGCAGGCGGUUUGUUAAGUGCAGGGUGAAAGCUCCCGGCUCAACUGGGAGAGGUCCUUGCAUACUGGCAAACUCGAGGGAGGCAGAGGAAAGUGGAAUUCCCGGUGUAGUGGUGAUAUGCGUAGAUAUCGGGAGGAACACCUGUGGCGAAGGCGGCUUUCUGGGCCUUACCUGACGCUG
This 225-nucleotide ribosomal RNA is filed under the name uncultured bacterium. RNAcentral describes it as "partial 16S ribosomal RNA". It matches the Rfam family "Bacterial small subunit ribosomal RNA", at positions 524 to 748 of the family's 1533-position model. The record is from RNAcentral.